GACGAACGCUGGCGGCGUGCUUAACACAUGCAAGUCGUACGGUAAGGCCCUUUCGUGGGUACACGAGCGGCGAACGAGUGAGUAACACGUAAGCAACCUGCCCUUCACUUUGGUAUAACUACCGUAAACGGUGGCUAACACCUGAUGUGACUUCCUCACGCAUGUGUGGUGGGGCAAAGCCAUCGGGUGGUGGGGGAUGGGCUCGCGGGCUAUCACCUUGUUGGGGGGGGGUUGGCCUACCAAGGCUUCGACGGGUAGCCGGCCUGAGAGGGUGACCGGCCACAUUGGGACUGAGACACGGCCCAGACUCCUACGGGAGGCAGCAGUGGGGAAUAUUGGACAAUGGGCGAAAGCCUGAUGCAGCAACGCCGCGUGAGGGAUGACGGCCUUCGGGUUGUAAACCUCUUUCGCCUGCGACGAAGCGAGAGUGACGGUAGCAGGUAAAGAAGCACCGGCAAACUACGUG
Molecule: ribosomal RNA, 466 nt
Filed under: uncultured bacterium
Lineage: Bacteria
Description: partial 16S ribosomal RNA
Rfam family: Bacterial small subunit ribosomal RNA
Source: RNAcentral